RNAcentral lists this unclassified non-coding RNA (153 nucleotides) under uncultured Phomopsis. RNAcentral's name for it is "sequence contains ITS2". The record is from RNAcentral. Lineage: Eukaryota; Fungi; Ascomycota; Sordariomycetes; Diaporthales; Cytosporaceae.
CAACCCUCAAGCCUGGCUUGGUGUUGGGGCACUGCUUUUUAACGAGAGCAGGCCCUGAAAUUCAGUGGCGAGCUCGCCAGGACUCCGAGCGUAGUAGUACAUCUCGCUUUGAAGGCCUGGCGGUGCCCUGCCGUUAAACCCCAACUUCUGAAA